Molecule: unclassified non-coding RNA, 337 nt
Filed under: soil metagenome
Description: partial contains 5.8S ribosomal RNA, internal transcribed spacer 2, and large subunit ribosomal RNA
Rfam family: 5.8S ribosomal RNA (bases 1-120)
Source: RNAcentral
GAUGAAGAACGUAGCGAAAUGCGAUAAGUAAUGUGAAUUGCAGAGUUCAGUGAAUCAUCGAAUCUUUGAACGCACAUUGCGCCCGCCAGUAUUCUGGCGGGCAUGCCUGUUCGAGCGUCAUUUCAACCAUCAAGCCCCCCGGCUUGUGUUGGGGACCUGCGGCUGCCGCAGGCCCUGAAAAGCAGUGGCGGGCUCGCUGUCACACCGAGCGUAGUAGAUCUCAUCUCGCUCAGGGCGUGCUGCGGGUUCCGGCCGUUAAACCACCUUCAUAACCCAAGGUUGACCUCGGAUCAGGUAGGAAGACCCGCUGAACUUAAGCAUAUCAAUAAGCGGAGGA